GCCAGAGGGGGCAAGCGUUGCUCGGAAUUACUGGGCGUAAAGGGCGCGUAGGCGGGAUGGCAAGUCGGUCGUGAAAUCCCUCGGCUCAACCGAGGAACGUCGAUCGAUACUGCUGUUCUUGAGGAUUGCAGAGGAGACUGGAAUUCCCGGUGUAGCGGUGAAAUGUGUAGAGAUCGGGAGGAACACCGGUGGCGAAGGCGGGUCUCUGGGCAAUUCCUGACGCUGAGGCGCGAAAGCGUGGGGAGCGAACGGG
Molecule: ribosomal RNA, 253 nt
Filed under: uncultured bacterium
Lineage: Bacteria
Description: partial 16S ribosomal RNA
Rfam family: Bacterial small subunit ribosomal RNA
Source: RNAcentral